Molecule: unclassified non-coding RNA, 333 nt
Filed under: soil metagenome
Description: partial contains 5.8S ribosomal RNA, internal transcribed spacer 2, and large subunit ribosomal RNA
Rfam family: 5.8S ribosomal RNA (bases 1-120)
Source: RNAcentral
GAUGAAGAACGUAGCGAAAUGCGAUAAGUAGUGUGAAUUGCAGAAUUCAGUGAAUCAUCGAAUCUUUGAACGCACAUUGCGCCCGCCAGCACUCUGGCGGGCAUGCCUGUUCGAGCGUCAUUUCAACCAUCAAGCCCCAGGCUUGCGUUGGAGCCCUGCGGCUGCCGCAGCCUCCUAAAAGCAGUGGCGGGCUCGCUAUCACACCGAGUGCAGUAGAUUACUCUUCGCUCAGGGCGUGCAGCGGGUUCCGGCCGUGAAACCCCCUACUUUUAAAGGUUGACCUCGGAUCAGGUAGGAAUACCCGCUGAACUUAAGCAUAUAAUAAGCGGAGGA